UUCUUGGUCAUUUAGAGGAAGUAAAAGUCGUAACAAGGUUUCCGUAGGUGAACCUGCGGAAGGAUCAUUAAAGAAAUUUAAUAAUUUUGAAAAUGGAUUUUUUUUGUUUUGGCAAGAGCAUGAGAGCUUUUACUGGGCAAGAAGACAAGAGAUGGAGAGUCCAGCCGGGCCUGCGCUUAAGUGCGCGGUCUUGCUAGGCUUGUAAGUUUCUUUCUUGCUAUUCCAAACGGUGAGAGAUUUCUGUGCUUUUGUUAUAGGACAAUUAAAACCGUUUCAAUACAACACACUGUGGAGUUUUCAUAUCUUUGCAACUUUUUCUUUGGGCAUUCGAGCAAUCGGGGCCCAGAGGUAACAAACACAAACAAUUUUAUCUAUUCAUUAAAUUUUUGUCAAAAACAAGAAUUUUCGUAACUGGAAAUUUUAAAAUAUUAAAAACUUUCAACAACGGAUCUCUUGGUUCUCGCAUCGAUGAAGAACGCAGCGAAAUGCGAUACGUAAUGUGAAUUGCAGAAUUCCGUGAAUCAUCGAAUCUUUGAACGCACAUUGCGCCCCUUGGUAUUCCAGGGGGCAUGCCUGUUUGAGCGUCAUUUCCUUCUCAAACAUUCUGUUUGGUUGUGAGUGAUACUCUUUGGAGUUAACUUGAAAUUGCUGGCCUCUUCAUUGGAUGUUUUUUUUCCAAAGAGAGGUUUCUCUGCGUGCUUGAGGUAUAAUGCAAGUACGGUCGUUUUAGGUUUUACCAACUGCGGCUAAUCUUUUUUUAUACUGAGCGUAUUGGAACGUUAUCGAUAAGAAGAGAGCGUCUAGGCGAACAAUGUUCUUAAAGUAUGACCUCAAAUCAGGUAGGAGUACCCGCUGAACUUAAGCAUAUCAAUAAGCGGAGGAA
This 883-nucleotide ribosomal RNA is filed under the name uncultured fungus. RNAcentral's name for it is "eukaryotic LSU rRNA". The stretch from base 434 to 587 matches the Rfam family "5.8S ribosomal RNA". Lineage: Eukaryota; Fungi. The record is from RNAcentral.